Molecule: long non-coding RNA, 561 nt
Organism: Brienomyrus brachyistius
Lineage: Eukaryota; Metazoa; Chordata; Actinopteri; Osteoglossiformes; Mormyridae
Exons: 3
Source: RefSeq, a predicted model, not a curated record
UAUACGCAUGACGUCAUCUAGCGACUUUCAGCGACUUUUCGAGCAGGCUUUAGCUACUUUCCAUUGAAAAUAGUUGGCAACACUGCGUCUAAUGUAACAUUAAAUUAAAUUCAACGUAGUUUAACAUAGUUUAACGUAGUUUCGACCGAUGUGCUUCUAUGUUCUUUUUCCAUUUUGGAACAGGACUCCAUUGGUUAACCGUGAAGCACUUGAGUCUGACGUGAUGACGUGAUCGCCAAAAAGAACGACCAAGAAAAUAUUACCUUCAUUUUGACACGGACAAACUCUAAGCAACCAAAAGUGGAUGCUAAGCAUUGAAAGUCAGAUUGUCUGUGAGGGAGUACAAGCCAACUUUACAUCUGGACUCUCAGCUCUAUUUUCAUCAUAUUACAACUUUAACCUCCAAUACCAAGAAGAAGCCGCAUGCACCCUUGAGUUUGUGCAAAGGCGCUUCAUCAACAUCAACCCAGAAUGGGGAUCCAAAGCCAAGCAGGGAAAAGUGGUAUCCAAAACAAGAAGAAACCCAAAACAGUCAAACCACAUUAAAAGCUUUUAAAAAUA